This 1413-nucleotide ribosomal RNA is filed under the name Paratrichocladius tamaater. RNAcentral describes it as "16S ribosomal RNA". Lineage: Eukaryota; Metazoa; Arthropoda; Insecta; Diptera; Chironomidae. The record is from RNAcentral.
AAUUAAUAUUAACUUAUUUAAAUUUCAUUAUGUUUUUAUUUAAAAUUAAUAAAAAUAAUUUUUUAGUUAAAAUUUUUAGUAUAUUAUAUAGAAAAAAUAAUUUUAAUAAUAGUUUAUUAGUAUUGUAAAAGAAAGUUGAAAUAAUUGAAAAAUUUUUAUAAAAAAAGAAAAAUUAGUUUUUUGUGCCUUGUGUGUCAGGAUUAAUUAAUUAAAUUUUAUAAAUAUUAAUAUUCUCGAAUUAAAAAGAUUUAAUAAAUUAUUUUAUUUAUUGUAAAAUAAAUAUUAAAUUAUAAUUUGUUAGAAAUGAAAUGUUAUUCGUUUUUUAAUAUAUCUGGUUUUUUAAGAAAUAAAUUUAAUUUAUUAAAUAAAAAAAUUAUUAAUUUUAUUAUUUAAAAUUAAUAAGUAAAUUAUUUAAAUAUUUAAAGGGAUGAGCUUUUAAAUAAAUUUUUACAAUUUUGUAAUAAAUAUAAAAAAAAAUAAGCUUAAAAAUAGUUAUUUUUAAAAAUUAUGUUAUAAUUUAUUUUAUAAUAAUAAUAUUUAUUUUAAAUUUAAAUUCUUUAUUAAAAAUUUUAUUUUAAUUUUAUAAAUGAAAUUAUUAUGAUUAAAUUAGUAAAAUAUUAUUAUUUGUUUAUUAAAAUAAAAAAUUGAAAGAAUUUUUUAAUUAAUUCGACAAAUUUAUAUAUUCAUCUGUUUAUCAAAAACAUUUCUUUUUGUUAUUUAUUUAUAAAAAGUAUAACCUGCCCACUGAUAUAAAAUUAAAGGGCCGCGGUAUUUUGACCGUGCAAAGGUAGCAUAAUCAUUAGUUUUUUAAUUGAGGACUUGUAUGAAUGGUUGGAUGAGAUAUAUGUUGUGUCAUAAAAUUUAUUAUUAAAUUUUAUAUUUUAGUUAAAAAGCUAAAAUUAUAUUUAUAGACGAGAAGACCCUAUAAAUCUUUAUAUUUUAUAAAUUUUAUUUUAUAAGGGUUUUUAUAUUUUAAUUUAUUUUAAAAUAAAUUUUUUAAAAUAUUUUAUUGGGGUGAUAUUAAAAUUUAUUUAACUUUUAACUUUUAUCCUCAUAUAUAAAUGAAUUUUAUUGAUCCAAAUUUUUUGAUUAAAAAUUUAAGUUACUUUAGGGAUAACAGCGUAAUUUUUUUGGAGAGUUCAAAUCGAUAAAAAAGAUUGCGACCUCGAUGUUGGACUAAGAAUUAAUUUAGGUGUAGAAGUUUAAAUUUUGAGUCUGUUCGACUUUAAUAUCUUACGUGAUCUGAGUUCAAACCGGCGUAAGCCAGGUUGGUUUCUAUCUUAAAUUAAAUAAUUAUAUUUUAGUACGAAAGGACCAAGUAUAAAAUUUUAAAAAUUUAAAAAAAAGAAUAAUUUUAAUUUUUGUAUUAAAAAUUUAAAUAAUUUAAAUCCUAUAUUAUUUUAAAAUUAAAUU